RNAcentral lists this ribosomal RNA (497 nucleotides) under uncultured bacterium. Its description in RNAcentral is "partial 16S ribosomal RNA". It matches the Rfam family "Bacterial small subunit ribosomal RNA", at positions 28 to 507 of the family's 1533-position model. The record is from RNAcentral.
GACGAACGCUGGCGGCGUGCCUAAUACAUGCAAGUCGAGCGAACGGACGAGAAGCUUGCUUCUCUGAUGUUAGCGGCGGACGGGUGAGUAACACGUGGAUAACCUACCUCUAUGACUGGGAUAACUUCGGGAAACCGGAGCUACUACCGGCUAAUAUUUUGAACCGCAUGGUUCAAAAGUGAAAGACGGUCUUGCUGUCACUUAUAGAUGGAUCCGCGCUGCAUUAGCUAGUUGGUAAGGUAACGGCUUACCAAGGCAACGAUGCAUAGCCGACCUGAGAGGGUGAUCGGCCACACUGGAACUGAGACACGGUCCAGACUCCUACGGGAGGCAGCAGUAGGGAAUCUUCCGCAAUGGGCGAAAGCCUGACGGAGCAACGCCGCGUGAGUGAUGAAGGUCUUCGGAUCGUAAAACUCUGUUAUUAGGGAAGAACAUAUGUGUAAGUAACUGUGCACAUCUUGACGGUACCUAAUCAGAAAGCCACGGCUAACUACGUG